UACGUAGGUGGCAAGCGUUGUCCGGAUUUACUGGGCGUAAAGAGCGCGCAGGCGGUCGUUCAAGUCGCGUGUGAAAGCCCCCGGCUCAACUGGGGAGGGUCACGCGAUACUGAUCGACUCGAAGGCAGGAGAGGGUACUGGAAUUCUCGGUGUAGCGGUGAAAUGCGUAGAUAUCGAGAGGAACACCUGCGGCGAAGGCGGGUUGCUGGGCUGACACUGACGCUGAUGCGCGAAAGCCAGGGGAGCGAACGGG
RNAcentral lists this ribosomal RNA (253 nucleotides) under uncultured bacterium. Its description in RNAcentral is "partial 16S ribosomal RNA". It matches the Rfam family "Bacterial small subunit ribosomal RNA", at positions 524 to 776 of the family's 1533-position model. The record is from RNAcentral.